UUAGGUUUCUUAUUCCAAAAUCACGGUACGAAUAUACUGAUUAUUCGAACAAUCACGGUAUCAAUAUACUGAUUAUUCGAACAAUCACGGUUUUCAAGAUGAUGGAAAGUUCGUCAAGUCUUCCUCUCAUAUUGAAAUAUCUCUAUUACCAGUAUCGUUUUACCGGACGGUUUUCUCAAUUCGUUGCUGCGGAAUGAGGUGGAGCCACAUGUCGUGAAUGAAGAGUAUUGCUCCUAGCUUUAAGGAUUUUUGGAAGGCUGGUGAUUUUGAUGAGUUUUUGGAUGGUGAUUGUGAUACAAGUCUGGUGAGUGUUAAUGUGUUUGAUAUUUGGGGAUUUGUUUUAACUUUAUGAUGUUAGAGUGAAUAUUUGAAGAUUAUUUACUAAUUUUGU
This 391-nucleotide long non-coding RNA is filed under the name Helianthus annuus (common sunflower). RNAcentral's name for it is "hypothetical non coding rna". The record is from RNAcentral. Lineage: Eukaryota; Viridiplantae; Streptophyta; Magnoliopsida; Asterales; Asteraceae.